UGCCACUUGGCAAAAAUCAGGCUGCUCAAAGCAGGAGCUAGUAGCAAUGUCGAACGUUCUUGAAGCCAAUAAGGAU
This 76-nucleotide small RNA is filed under the name Lactobacillus phage LBR48. RNAcentral's name for it is "RT-18 RNA". It matches the Rfam family "RT-18 RNA". From Rfam's summary of the family: Clostridiales (Firmicutes). Nearby to self-splicing intron genes Lineage: Duplodnaviria; Heunggongvirae; Uroviricota; Caudoviricetes. The record is from Rfam by way of RNAcentral.